Molecule: non-coding RNA, 28 nt
Filed under: Homo sapiens (human)
Lineage: Eukaryota; Metazoa; Chordata; Mammalia; Primates; Hominidae
Source: RNAcentral
UUUGGAGCACAUUAAAAGUGGAGAGAAC